AUGUCGAAGCGGCCAUGGUCGUCCGGCCACCCCUCCGCUCUCCCGCCGGCCAAGCGGCGGCAGCAGCAGCAGCAUCUCUACGUGCUGCUGGACGACUGGGAGAGGGGCUGCAGCAUUUACAGGUUCGGCGAGGACGACCUCGACGCCGACGCCGACGACGAUGCCGACGAAGGCUGCCUGGACGGCACGCCACCGAUCGCCCGCCUCGAGGCGCGGCACCCGCUCCCGUGGGCCUUCGCCGCGCACGGCACCAAGAUCCUGGCGGUGCGCGCCGCCGAGGGCAGCCCGGCGAUCCCCGGGUUCGACACCCGCACGAUGGCGGUGGUGGCGUGCCCGCUCCCCGAGGCGAACCGCGGCAUGACCUGCAAGCCCUUCUACGCAUCGGCCGCCGGCGACAGGCUCUUCGUCAUGGCCUACCGGUAUAUCGAGGAGCUCGGCCCGCAGCCGCCGCCCGACGACGACCGGCCCCCGCCCGCCUGGUCCUGGUCCGGGAUCGACGACGCGGCCCCGCCCUUCUGCCCCAAGUACGUCACCUGCCAGGCGCGGCACCCGGACGGGCGCACCGUGUUCGCGUCGGUCAUGGGGUGGCGGCCCGGCGGUGCGCAGAUACGCCAGCGGAGCACCUACUCGUUCGACGCGGACCGCCGCGGGUUCCGCUACCACGGCGAGUGGCUGCUGCCGUUCCGCGGGGAGGCGCACUACGACGGCCAGCUGGACGCGUGGGUCGGGCUCGCCGACGAGGCGCCCGGGCACGUCGCGUCGUGCGACGUGCCGUCGAGGCGGGCCGAGCCCGCCGGCGAGGCCAGCGAGGGGCCGGACUGGAAGCUCGGCGAGGAGAGGCUGUUCGACUUCGACUUCGAGUCGACGGGGCACCUCGGGGCCACGCUGGUGUACAUGGGAGGAGGCAGCAGGUACUGCCUGAUUGAGUGCUGCGCGCUGAGGGGUGACGACGACGGCGACGACCCGCGCUGCCGCCGCCGGGUGGUGCAGAUGACCACCUUCGCUCUCAAGUACGGCAAGAAGGGGGAGCUCCGGAUCGUCGGCCGUGGGGGUCGCGCUUCCAUGGCGUACACGGUGGCCCAUGACAUGAAUCCGCCGACACUGAGCCCUACCGCGUUCUGGAUGUAA
Molecule: ribosomal RNA, 1128 nt
Filed under: Triticum aestivum (bread wheat)
Lineage: Eukaryota; Viridiplantae; Streptophyta; Magnoliopsida; Poales; Poaceae
Description: partial small subunit ribosomal RNA
Source: RNAcentral